RNAcentral lists this ribosomal RNA (2922 nucleotides) under Enterobacteriaceae bacterium S05. RNAcentral describes it as "bacterial LSU rRNA". It matches the Rfam family "Bacterial large subunit ribosomal RNA". The record is from RNAcentral. Lineage: Bacteria; Pseudomonadati; Pseudomonadota; Gammaproteobacteria; Enterobacterales; Enterobacteriaceae.
GGGUUGUGAGGUUAAGCGACUAAGCGUACACGGUGGAUGCCCUGGCAGUCAGAGGCGAUGAAGGACGUGCUAAUCUGCGAAAAGCGUCGGUAAGGUGAUAUGAACCGUUAUAACCGGCGAUGUCCGAAUGGGGAAACCCAGUGUGAUUCGUCACACUAUCGUUAACUGAAUACAUAGGUUAACGAGGCGAACCGGGGGAACUGAAACAUCUAAGUACCCCGAGGAAAAGAAAUCAACCGAGAUUCCCCCAGUAGCGGCGAGCGAACGGGGAGCAGCCCAGAGUCUGAAUCAGCUUGUGUGUUAGUGGAACGGUCUGGAAAGUCCGACGGUACAGGGUGAUAGUCCCGUACACCAAAAUGCACAGGCUGUGAACUCGAAGAGUAGGGCGGGACACGUGGUAUCCUGUCUGAAUAUGGGGGGACCAUCCUCCAAGGCUAAAUACUCCUGACUGACCGAUAGUGAACCAGUACCGUGAGGGAAAGGCGAAAAGAACCCCGGCGAGGGGAGUGAAAAAGAACCUGAAACCGUGUACGUACAAGCAGUGGGAGCACCUUCGGGUGUGACUGCGUACCUUUUGUAUAAUGGGUCAGCGACUUAUAUUCUGUAGCAAGGUUAACCGUAUAGGGGAGCCGCAGGGAAACCGAGUCUUAACUGGGCGUUAAGUUGCAGGGUAUAGACCCGAAACCCGGUGAUCUAGCCAUGGGCAGGUUGAAGGUUGGGUAACACUAACUGGAGGACCGAACCGACUAAUGUUGAAAAAUUAGCGGAUGACUUGUGGCUGGGGGUGAAAGGCCAAUCAAACCGGGAGAUAGCUGGUUCUCCCCGAAAGCUAUUUAGGUAGCGCCUCGUGAACUCAUCUUCGGGGGUAGAGCACUGUUUCGGCUAGGGGGUCAUCCCGACUUACCAACCCGAUGCAAACUACGAAUACCGAAGAAUGUUAUCACGGGAGACACACGGCGGGUGCUAACGUCCGUCGUGAAGAGGGAAACAACCCAGACCGCCAGCUAAGGUCCCAAAGUCAUGGUUAAGUGGGAAACGAUGUGGGAAGGCACAGACAGCCAGGAUGUUGGCUUAGAAGCAGCCAUCAUUUAAAGAAAGCGUAAUAGCUCACUGGUCGAGUCGGCCUGCGCGGAAGAUGUAACGGGGCUAAACCAUGCACCGAAGCUGCGGCAGCGACACUAUGUGUUGUUGGGUAGGGGAGCGUUCUGUAAGCCUGCGAAGGUGACCUGUGAGGGUUGCUGGAGGUAUCAGAAGUGCGAAUGCUGACAUAAGUAACGAUAAAGCGGGUGAAAAGCCCGCUCGCCGGAAGACCAAGGGUUCCUGUCCAACGUUAAUCGGGGCAGGGUGAGUCGACCCCUAAGGCGAGGCCGAAAGGCGUAGUCGAUGGGAAACAGGUUAAUAUUCCUGUACUUGGUGUUACUGCGAAGGGGGACGGAGAAGGCUAUGUUAGCCGGGCGACGGUUGUCCCGGUUUAAGCAUGUAGGCUGGUUAUCCAGGCAAAUCCGGAUAAUCAAGGCUGAGGUGUGAUGACGAAGCACUACGGUGCUGAAGUAACAAAUGCCCUGCUUCCAGGAAAAGCCUCUAAGCAUCAGGUAACAUCAAAUCGUACCCCAAACCGACACAGGUGGUCAGGUAGAGAAUACCAAGGCGCUUGAGAGAACUCGGGUGAAGGAACUAGGCAAAAUGGUGCCGUAACUUCGGGAGAAGGCACGCUGGUGUGUAGGUGAAGUCCCUGCGGAUGGAGCUGAGACCAGUCGAAGAUACCAGCUGGCUGCAACUGUUUAUUAAAAACACAGCACUGUGCAAACACGAAAGUGGACGUAUACGGUGUGACGCCUGCCCGGUGCCGGAAGGUUAAUUGAUGGGGUUAUCCGUAAGGAGAAGCUCUUGAUCGAAGCCCCGGUAAACGGCGGCCGUAACUAUAACGGUCCUAAGGUAGCGAAAUUCCUUGUCGGGUAAGUUCCGACCUGCACGAAUGGCGUAAUGAUGGCCAGGCUGUCUCCACCCGAGACUCAGUGAAAUUGAACUCGCUGUGAAGAUGCAGUGUACCCGCGGCAAGACGGAAAGACCCCGUGAACCUUUACUAUAGCUUGACACUGAACAUUGAGCCUUGAUGUGUAGGAUAGGUGGGAGGCUUUGAAGCGUGGACGCCAGUCUGCGUGGAGCCAACCUUGAAAUACCACCCUUUAAUGUUUGAUGUUCUAACGUUGGCCCCUUAUCGGGGUUGCGGACAGUGUCUGGUGGGUAGUUUGACUGGGGCGGUCUCCUCCCAAAGCGUAACGGAGGAGCACGAAGGUUAGCUAAUCCUGGUCGGACAUCAGGAGGUUAGUGCAAUGGCAUAAGCUAGCUUGACUGCGAGCGUGACGGCGCGAGCAGGUGCGAAAGCAGGUCAUAGUGAUCCGGUGGUUCUGAAUGGAAGGGCCAUCGCUCAACGGAUAAAAGGUACUCCGGGGAUAACAGGCUGAUACCGCCCAAGAGUUCAUAUCGACGGCGGUGUUUGGCACCUCGAUGUCGGCUCAUCACAUCCUGGGGCUGAAGUAGGUCCCAAGGGUAUGGCUGUUCGCCAUUUAAAGUGGUACGCGAGCUGGGUUUAGAACGUCGUGAGACAGUUCGGUCCCUAUCUGCCGUGGGCGCUGGAGAAUUGAGGGGGGCUGCUCCUAGUACGAGAGGACCGGAGUGGACGCAUCACUGGUGUUCGGGUUGUCAUGCCAAUGGCACUGCCCGGUAGCUAAAUGCGGAAGAGAUAAGUGCUGAAAGCAUCUAAGCACGAAACUUGCCCCGAGAUGAGUUCUCCCUGAGACUAUAAGUCUCCUGAAGGAACGUUGAAGACGACGACGUUGAUAGGCCGGGUGUGUAAGCGCAGCGAUGCGUUGAGCUAACCGGUACUAAUGAACCGUGAGGCUUAACCUUACAACGCCGAAG